AGUGGGGAAUAUUGCACAAUGGAGGAAACUCUGAUGCAGCAACGCCGCGUGGAGGAUGACGCAUUUCGGUGUGUAAACUCCUUUUAUAUGGGAAGAUAAUGACGGUACCAUAUGAAUAAGCACCGGCUAACUCCGUGCCAGCAGCCGCGGUAAUACGGAGGGUGCAAGCGUUACUCGGAAUCACUGGGCGUAAAGCGCGCGCAGGCGGACUAAUAAGCUAGAAGUGAAAUGCUGUGGCUCAACCAUAGAACUGCUUCUAGAACUGUUAGUCUAGAGUCUGGGAGGGGAAGAUGGAAUUAGUUGUGUAGGGGUAAAAUCCGUAGAGAUAACUAGGAAUACCAAAAGCGAAGGCGAUCUUCUGGAACAGUACUGACGCUGAGGCGCGAAAGCGUGGGGAGCAAACAGGAUUAGAUACCCUGGUAGUCCACGCCCUAAACGAUGAAUGUUAGUCGUUGGAUAGCUAGUCUAUUCAGUGAUGCAGUUAACACAUUAAACAUUCCGCCUGGGGAGUACGGUCGCAAGAUUAAAACUCAAAGGAAUAGACGGGGACCCGCACAAGUGGUGGAGCAUGUGGUUUAAUUCGAAGAUACGCGAAGAACCUUACCUAGCCUUGACAUUGAUAGAACACUUUAGAGAUAGAGUGGUGCCCUUCGGGGAACUUGAAAACAGGUGCUGCACGGCUGUCGUCAGCUCGUGUCGUGAGAUGUUGGGUUAAGUCCCGCAACGAGCGCAACCCUCGUGACUAGUUACUAACGGUUCGGCCGAGGACUCUAGUCAGACUGCCUUCGCAAGGAGGAGGAAGGUGAGGACGACGUCAAGUCAUCAUGGCCCUUACGGCUAGGGCGACACACGUGCUACAAUGGGUAGGACAAUGAGAAGCGAUACCGCGAGGUGGAGCAAAUCUAUAAACCUACUCUCAGUUCGGAUAGCAGUCUGCAACUCGACUGCUUGAAGCUGGAAUCACUAGUAAUCGUAGAUCAGCCAUGCUACGGUGAAUACGU
Molecule: ribosomal RNA, 1001 nt
Filed under: uncultured bacterium
Lineage: Bacteria
Description: bacterial SSU rRNA
Rfam family: Bacterial small subunit ribosomal RNA
Source: RNAcentral